GGCAAAAUUCCGCUCGCAGUCACUGCGAGUAACUCCUCCCAGAUGGAUGCUGUGCGGACGGCAAUUGUAAACUCUGGACAAAAGAGUCUUUCAAGCAGCAGAAGUUUAACAUUUUGAUGAAGUUCAAUAUGUCAAACUUUUCUCUUGUGGAUCAUGCAUUUUCUGUCUUAUCUAAGAAAUUUUUGCUUCACUCAAGAAUAAUUAUGUGGAGUACCAUCCAGGUCAAUCUCCAAUUACAACCCCAUUCUUCUCUCCAAGAGCACUGACCAUCUCGAUUUUGCAGUAAUGAUUCUCUUGCUCUCAUUUAAAGACUUACUAUGUAUUGUGCUGUAUCUGGACAUAUGGGAUGCUUCCAACAGCAUUACAAACAACGCUCCUCUGAACAAUCUUGACUGUAUCUCCUGCUGCAGGUCUUCAGCUUUAAUAAUGUCACACUGUUUUCCACGGUGCUUGCGCCCCUUCGUAUUCCCACCAGCAGUAAACGAGUGCCGAUAGCUCUACAUUUCAACCAACACGUGGAAUUACAAUGCGUUUUAAUUUCUGUUGCCAAUUUUGUGCAUGUAUGAUAGAGAUCUACUUUCCAUCGUGUGGGAUCCUGGAUUUUGUUUCAUGUCCAUGUUCAAUUGUAAAAAUUACACUAUAUGUUUUUAAAAAGCAAAUUUGUCUUUACAAGACCAUUUUAAAAUCUUUGCAUACAAAUAUGUUAGGUGCUUACAGAUUUUUUUCUUCUGAAAAAUUUCCUUAUAAAAAUAGAAUGUGCUAUUCAUCAGCAUGUCCUAUUUUUGGGGCAAAUAUGGAUGGAUGGCAGAGCUAGAAUUUUAACCUGUGUGUCUCUCUUACUCCAGGCUCUUUCUCUUGUCUUUAGGAGAGCAUGGUGGCAGGCAGCUGGUCUUUUCUUGUUUUAUUUUGAUAUAAUUUUAAGCAACUUGCUCUAGUGGGAGCUCCUGAUGGCUGCCCCCUAGUGGACUCCAGCGAGACUGCGCUCACCGGAUUGUAAGACGCUCCCCCUGCCUCACUCUGCUCAUUCCCGCUGAAGGGCAAGGCCUCUGCUCUGUGUUAGCACACUGCUUCCAGCAGAGUGUAAACAAAUCGAUAAUCCCGUGUGGCCACGGGGUAAAGAAGUGACAUUCUUACCCCUGCAGAAGGAGUACACUCUUGGGGACCGAGAUCAAGGUGGGCCUAUAGCGUCACCGCUUUGGUUUCAAAUUUGGUUGGGUAUCAGACUGAAGAGGAACAGCAGGCUUUAACUUAAUACGGUUUCUCAACCUCAGCACUAUUGACAUUUUGAGUUAGAUAACCUUUUGUUGUGGGGGUUGUCCUGUGCAUCGUACGAUGUUUAACAGCAUCCUUGGCCUCCACUCACUAGAUGCCAAUAGCAUCCUUCCUCUAGUUGUGACAGCCCAAAAUGUCUCCAGACAUUGCCAAAUGUCCCUUGGUGGACAAAAUAGGCCCAAUUGAGAAACACUCUUAUAGGGGGAUAGAAAGCAGGAGAUUCAGCUCGCACAGUUCUCCAUCCCGUCAGGAGGGCCAGCAGUACCAGGUACCGCACAGCGUCUGUUGCCCCCUCACCACACAGCGCGUGAGCUGCCCUGACCAGAGCCAAGGUGUGCGUGAGUCACCUUCAUACGGAGAAGCCUUGGCCUUGAUUUAGCACCAAUCUUUUAUGUCAUAUUAGUCACAUGGGCCUGAGACGAGCAUGCAGAUUCAGAGAGCCUCCGAUACAGGUGCAUUUCCACAGGGCAGAAGAAACUGUCACAACACUCCACGCUUCUCCUGCACUGGCAGAACUCAGAGACCUGAGGUCGCUGCCAGGUAGGCCUGCCCCAGCCCAGGCCUGAAACAAAUUAACCCUUUCCUCACACUGCCACAAAACCCCACCAAGCACGGUAGAGUUGGUUUGUUAAGUGCUUCCCCACCUUGCAGAGAUGCUGUCUCGCCACCACCCCACCAAAAAAAGACCAAACCUCAGGCUUCUGUGUUACCAGGACCUGCAUAACCUUGGCAGCCUCCAUCUAAGUCUACUUUCAGCUCCUCCAAUCCCUACAUCCCGAUGAACUUCGUGGGGCCAUCCAAAAUCUAGGCUUCUGGAGUGGCUUGCGGUGGCUUACUUUGCUCGUCCAUUUAAACUCCUUUAUAUCACGUACAUUGGCUGAGUUAAGGUACAUUGCCUAUAUCUGGAAACAUUUGUCAGCCUGUAGAGACAUCUUGAAACGUUCCCUUGAAAGAAAAGUUUGGGGAAAUUCACAGGCCAUGAUUCCACGCCGGUGGGACACCACGAUGCUUUCAAACUCUGGUGGCUUCUUACAUGGCAAAGUAGUCUAGGGAACAUUGGCAGCUGUUGGAAAUGUGCUGGGGGCCAAGGAAAAUCAAAGAGUUGCCCCUCCUUCUUGUUAAAUGCCUCAGACCCUCAGAGAUCCUUACUUUACUCCUCUCCCAGGGCCAUAGAGGAAUUCAGGGGAAACAAUCUUUUACCCCCAGUUUAGGUUGCUGGAAGGAUAACUUGUAAACUUGGAUUUACUGAUGGCCAUUGGGGAGACCCAGCUUGGAACGGAGUUUGUCCAGUGGAGUUCCCCU
Molecule: long non-coding RNA, 2574 nt
Organism: Equus caballus (horse)
Lineage: Eukaryota; Metazoa; Chordata; Mammalia; Perissodactyla; Equidae
Source: RefSeq, a predicted model, not a curated record